Molecule: ribosomal RNA, 522 nt
Filed under: uncultured Glomus
Lineage: Eukaryota; Fungi; Glomeromycota; Glomeromycetes; Glomerales; Glomeraceae
Description: SSU rRNA
Rfam family: Eukaryotic small subunit ribosomal RNA
Source: RNAcentral
AGCAGCCGCGGUAAUUCCAGCUCCAAUAGCGUAUAUUAAAGUUGUUGCAGUUAAAAAGCUCGUAGUUGAAUUUCGAGACCGGUUUACUGGUCGUGCUUUUGUACGUACUGGUAUUAUUGGUUUCUCCUUUCUGACGAAUCAUAAUGCCAUUAAUUUGGUGUUUUGGGGAAUCAGGACUGUUACUUUGAAAAAAUUAGAGUGUUUAAAGCAGGCUCACGCUUGAAUACAUUAGCAUGGAAUAACGAAAUAGGACGUUUGAUUUUAUUUUGUUGGUUUCUAGGAUCGACGUAAUGAUUAAUAGGGAUAGUUGGGGGCAUUAGUAUUCAAUUGUCAGAGGUGAAAUUCUUGGAUUUAUUGAAGACUAACUACUGCGAAAGCAUUUGCCAAGGAUGUUUUCAUUAAUCAAGAACGAAAGUUAGGGGAUCGAAGACGAUCAGAUACCGUCGUAGUCUUAACCAUAAACUAAUGCCGACUAGGGAUCGGAUGAUGUUAAUUUUUUAAUGACUCAUUCGGCGCUUACGG